RNAcentral lists this long non-coding RNA (3905 nucleotides) under Capsicum annuum. RNAcentral's name for it is "long non-coding RNA (CANN_LNC007009)". The record is from RNAcentral. Lineage: Eukaryota; Viridiplantae; Streptophyta; Magnoliopsida; Solanales; Solanaceae.
GUCGACUAUGGCAUUGAUAAAUGUUUUCUCCAGCUCCCAGCGUCCAAUUUCAGUGAACCAACAUGGACUCAACGCGGUGCGUUGGAUACCGCAUCGAUGCCAAUAAUGCAGCGCGUCGGCCUGCACAGUCAUUAAAAAGGCAUGUCCUCAGAGUUAAUUAAGUCUUUAUCCCACGCCCUUCAGCCCCCAUAACAAGAAAUUUAGCCCUCUUUUAGCAACAUAUAAUCAUUCUUUCACAAAUUUCUCAAGAACAAAAACACUAGGUGAAUUAAAUUCAAAUUCAAGGCAAAAUAUUCCACCGUUAAUUUUUCAGAAUUCACCAACUAAAGUUUGAAAUGAGAAAUCAUAAUGUCCAAGACAAACAAUUAGGAAGAAACACAAACAUCAAAAUCAAGUUCAGACAAAUAGAAAGAAGCCCACAUAAAACACAAAAUCAUAAUGGUUAGAACCUAAGUAUCUCCUAGCAGAGUCGCCAUGUUAGCAUGCCUCAUUUUUUUUAGAAAAAUGAGAUUCGAUGUGACAACUCUUUUAGGAUGGUUGAAAGAGAAAUGUCACCACCUAACGAAUUGAGGUACGUUAGGGCACCAUUCUAGACUAAUUAUGAAUAAUUUUAUCAGUUUAUGUCACCAAAAACUCGAUAAGGGUUCAUGUUAUCUCAAAAGGAAGGUGUUAGGUACCUUUCAAGGUUCGCAAAUAUGGGUUCGACAAUAUUCAUAUAUUACGUGGGAAUCCUACGGAAUAAAAAAAGGUCACUUAUUUUUAUAAACUUAAUGUUACUAAGUGAUAAAAAUAAUAAACAAACAAGACAUGUAACUUAAAUAUUUUUUAAUUAUUAAUUAUCUAGUUGAUGAGGAAGUACAUAAAUAAAAAUGAAUCAAACAAGCAGGGACAGAGAAAGGGCACAAUUUAUAGAGAAAAAUAUUUUUUAAAUAAUAAACCUAAACUACCUCCAAACUAUUAAAACUUACGAAACAAAAAAAGAACAAAUUCGAAAGGUUUGGACUAAAGUUAAUUUUAUCCAAUUACGAUCAGUGGCCGACUUAUUAACGUGUGACGAUGUCGGAUGUCGCAUUGUCAAAUUCUGCUCGAAACAACUUCCAUCAUUUUCUACUAUAUUCCCCCCCCCCCCCAACACACACCUAAUUUAGUUAUUAAGCUUAAAGGCGUUCUAUAAAAAUGAUAAAUUUAGUGUUCCCUAAAAUGCCUAUCCGUCCUAACUUAAUGUCUAGGUGACAUUGGACCUUCUACUUUGAAUUUGGGUCUAGACAAAGAAUACCUAGGAUUUCUUAUUAGACUCGAAAAUCGAAUUAGAUAUAUUAGACUCGAAAAUCGAACUAGAUAAGACAACAAGAAAAGCACUUAGCAUAUAAUAGUCUCAUAGAAAGCCUCUUGAUUAACUAAAAAGGGAUUAAGUGAAAGGCAUGCUAAAACAUACAAUUAUCUAUUUUUACAUAAUUAAACCUAUAGGUACGAUACCUAAGCAACAAAUAGCUGUUUAUUGACAAAAGACAGCUGGCAAUUCGCUUGAAAGUAAUAUAUUGCAAAUUCAUUAUGAUGAAACUAAAUAGACAUGUCAAAACCUCAAGUAUACAUGUCGGUGAAUUAGAUCAAUUUCAAUAUAAAGGAAAUAAGUUAAACAUAUUAAAAAUUAAUCGGAUUACUAAAAAGGUACUAGAAAAUAUGUUUUUAAGUACUGAAAAAUAAUUAAUAUGUUGGAGAAUAAAACUUAACUGCUGAAAAUAUUUUUUAAAUGUGGAAAGUAUCAUUUAAGUACUUGAAAUUGAAAUUUAAGAGCUGAAAACAUUAUUUAACAGCUGAAAAUUAAAAUUCAGUUAUUGAUUAUUAAGUUUUAGUUGUUGAAAAGUAGUCUUUUACUGCUGGAUAUUGAUAAACAAAUUGCUAAAAUUAAAUUUAAAUGUUGAACAGUAGUUUUUAUAUUGAAAAUUGAUAAAAACAUGCUAAAAUUUAAAUAGACAUGCCAAAGUACGUGAAGUGUUGAAAAUAAGUUACAAUAUCCAAAAAUUAGCUAAAGAUGUUGAAAUUAAUUUCUUGCGGAUUGACAGUUAAUAAAUAAUUCCUAAAACAUGAUUUCUAAGAGAUAAAAUAAUUUUAUUAAUGAUCCUAGAAUAUGUUUUGCCUAAGUGAUAAUGUAGUUCACAUAAACAUUUAAAACACAAAAUCUCUAUCCCCAUAAACGGUCCCCAUAAUUUCAUUAUGUACAUCAAUGUUUGUACAAAUUAUUACCGACCCAAAUUUUAAUGAAGAGAAAAUAGUGAAACUGCUAGACAUCUUUUAGGCAGCAACAUUUUAGCACGACCCAAUCUAUGCUUAAUAUGGUAUCUGCUCAAGCACCAUAAAUACACAAACCACAAACUAACCGGCUUCGACAAUAGACCCAUAAAACCCACAAAUAUGUAUCCUUACAUUUAUUACUAAAAGCAGGAACCAAUCAUUCAUAGGUAGCAUAAAAAGUAAUUUUACAAGAAUCAAACAGUCAACGAAGCUAUAUCACUAAAAGAGAUUAAGAAAUGCUUAAAAAGGGAAUUUAACUUACAAAUGAUAAGAAAACUAAUCGAUUAAUAGUGAUAAACGGAAGAAAGAAGAGAAGAACCAAACUUCAAUUGCACUCCAGAAGAGAAUAACACGCAGCAAGAUAAAAGUUCAAGAAUAUUUAUGUAUGAUUAGCCAAAAGCUAAAAAUGUUGUUGGGGUGUAGAAAGAAAUAGUCUUCAGAGCAUGGGAUAAAGGAGGAAACCCCUUUUAAUAGUCAGUGACUUGUUUAAUCAUACAGAAAAAGAGAAAUAAGAUUUAUCAAAUCAAUCAAAGUAAAAAAAAUUUCAAGGACGGAAUCAAUUGCGAUUCAAAUUUAUGAUACUUACCAUAAAUAAAUAAGUAAAGAAAAUUUGCUAAACUUAUUAAAGUAAAACCAUGAAGUGUGUAAAUUAGUCAAUUGCCAUAUUAUCCCAUUUUAACAUAAUUAAGCACGUAUGAGAUCUUUCAAACUAAAUAAGGGCAAGAAAAAUCAAAAUGAAUUAAUGGAAUAUUUUCUUAAAAGAAGCUAAGUAUAAUCAAUUUAGGGAUAGAAUAGUAACCAAAUACCGAGUGAAAUCUGUUAAGCAAAAUAUGCACAUAUAAGAAAUUCCUUAUCAUUCAAGGAUUCAUGUAAUAUUUAUCGAAACAUGAUGAAGUCCUCAAAUUGUCGUACCUAGUACAUGUAUAGACUUACAUUGAGCAAACAGAUACAAUUUUUCACAAAACCAAUAUGCAGCAUUUUGAUGUGAAUUUGACAAAUUAGGGUUUAAAAAUAAGUCACAAAAGUUUUGGGGUUUUCACAUAUAUCAAUCUAGAGGUGUAACUAAACACAUAAUUAGAGUAAUCGGAUUAAGAUUAAAUGCCAAACACCGUGAAUUUUUAAUCUAAGAAUUUGAUUUGGGUAAUUCGCAAGCAAAGCAAAAAAAACAUGAAAUUUAAAGUAUUAAGAGAUCAAACCCAAAAAUAAUCAUUGUGGAGUUCAUUGAAAACAUCGUCGAUCAUAACUCCAACAAGGAGGUAAGACCAAAAAGACAGUGAAUAAGAGGAGAGGGAGAAGAAAGGAUAGCAUCAACUUGGUGGGUGUUUCGUCGGCUGGAAGGUAGCCAAAAACGAGGGAAGCAGUGGCGGUGAUUGGUUGAAACUCGCCGGUCAUCAACUCCAAUGAGUCGACGGCAUGAGAGAGGAACAUGGAGAAUGAGGAGAUUGCCGGUGGUGGGUGAAGCAGUGGCGAGAUAGAGAGGGGAGGAAGUGAGGGGCAUCAAUUUUAUCGACCGGUUAUUCGUGGAGACGCUAGUGUGGGUUCGCUAGAAAGGGCGAUGCGCUACUGGAGGGUUUGAGAAAGAGAAAGAGACGGGUUUAAGAGACAGAAAGGGU